Molecule: ribosomal RNA, 247 nt
Filed under: uncultured organism
Description: partial 16S ribosomal RNA
Rfam family: Bacterial small subunit ribosomal RNA
Source: RNAcentral
AGGAAUCUUCCCCAAUGGGCGAAAGCCUGAGGGAGCGAUACCGCUUGAAGGACGAAGCCCCUCGGGGUGUAAACUUCUGAACUCGGGACGAUCAUGACGGUACCGAGGUAAUAGCACCGGCUAACUCCGUGCCAGCAGCCGCGGUAAUAAGAAGGGUGUAAGCGUUAAUCGGAAUUAAUGGGCGUAACGGGUGCGUAGGCGGUCUCGCAAGUCCGACGCGUAAGACGAAGGUUCAACCUCGGGACUG